This 431-nucleotide long non-coding RNA is filed under the name Sus scrofa (pig). Its description in RNAcentral is "lncRNA (ENSSSCG00030031126.1)". Lineage: Eukaryota; Metazoa; Chordata; Mammalia; Artiodactyla; Suidae. The record is from RNAcentral.
UAAGAUGGCAGAAUAGAAGGACUGGAGCUCAACUUCUCUCCUAAAAACAACAAAAUUUACAAACAAAUGAUGAGCAAUUUCAACCAAAUGGACCAGAAACCUUCAAAAAGAUAUCCUAUUCCAGAAGACAAAGAGGAGGCCACAUCAAGAGGCUCCAGGUUACGUACAGCUGGGACUGCUGCUACCUGAUUGCAAGAAUUAUAUAAGACCAAGAUAAUGAAGGCUAGAUUUAAAAAACAUAAAGGUAAGUAAUCUGAAUUUGAACCCAGAUCUGUAUGACUCAGAAGUCCAUGCUUUUAAAUCAAUCCUCAUGCUGUCUCUAUGAGUAAGGGAAAAAAUGUCAUGAAAGUGUUAUUUUAGCCAGAAAUAAGUGUAGGAAAGGCCACAGAAACAGGACCCUCUAUAUUGCUUUGGCAAUGUUGGACAAACCU